Molecule: long non-coding RNA, 1507 nt
Filed under: Sus scrofa (pig)
Lineage: Eukaryota; Metazoa; Chordata; Mammalia; Artiodactyla; Suidae
Description: lncRNA (ENSSSCG00040031032.1)
Source: RNAcentral
AGAUAUGAAGAUAGAAACUCUGCUGGAGCUGCUGCAUAUGUCUUACUUGGACAUCUAAUAAGGCUCAGCCAGCAUGAUGUCACCAGUGCACUGGGCCAACCAGCCCUUCUGUGGGGUGGAAAGGUGAGCAAAGAAAAUGAAAAUGUAUUCCACUGUCUUCCAGCUCCCUUUAUUUCCAUCAAGAAAUCUGCUGUCAUAUCCUUUGUUGGUUAUUUUAGUUUUCACUUUCAUUCAGUUUUAAGUACUUUUCUUAAUCUUAUUCUACAGCUGUUAAUACAAUGUUUCUUGGCAGAUUUUUGGGUCAAUGUACUUAGGAUACAUUAUAGUUUCUGACCCCUAGUGAUGCUAUGGACAUUUGGCUUGGAACAGCUCAAUCUCUCCAAUUUCUUUUGUGUUCACUGUUUCAAGGUCUGGAUUUAGCUCAUUUUUUUUUUUUUCAGGGAGAAAGUAAAUCUUCAGAUAUUUUAUUUUAUGAGAAUCCACAAUGCAAUUAAACAUUUAUUAUAUACAGUAUCUAGUUAUAUUUUAGUGGGAGCCCUUCAAAAUGCUGCCCAUUGAAAAUAUUCAGCCCAGAAUAUUUACCAUAAAUUCCAUGUCUGAAAUAACUAUAUUGUUAACAUACUGGAAUGAUAUAAAAUAAUUUUAAAGAUUAUCAAAACACCUGGCAUUUUAAAAAUAGAAACUCUCUAGUUAUGUUUAAAACAUUAGAGUUUAUAGAGAUUAAAAGUGUUUUCUUCCUUUAAUCACUAUUCUGGAAUCUCAGUCUGAGCUGUUCUACUCUGCUCCUUAAUGCUGAGAACAUUCUGAAGGAUUUACUUUUGUUUAAUAUUUAUAUAUUCUAGAUUUCAUGUUCUUUUCCUGAAGGCAAUGUAUAUAUUCAUAGUGAAUUAUUUAGCAUCAAUCAUGGGCAACCUUGAUGCUGCUUCUUUUAAUCUUUCUGACUAAGAAAUGAUGUUCUCAUAGGUAUGCAAUGAAACAUGGUUUUGAGAGUCUUUUAAAAAAAACCAUAUAUUAAAACCUUUUGAGAAUCUAAGCAAAACGGUUUGUUUCCCACCAUUAACAUUAAUGUAAUGCAAUCUUUAUUUCUGGAAUAGCCAAUAUUCACAGUAAUAGAAGUUUUAGAAAAGACUCACUCUUCAAUUCUCUUUGCCAAUUUACUCAAACAUUAUCAAAAAGAUUGUGUAUUGUAGUUUUCUUCUUGAGAGAAAUAUAGACAAUAAUCUCUUUGAAAAGAGGGGGAGUCAGAAUACCUGUUGUGGUAACGAACCCAACUAGUAUCCAUGAGGACUCAGGUUUGAUCCCUAGCCUUGCCCAGUGGGUUAAGGAUCCGGCAUUGCCGUGAACUGUGGUGUAGGUCGCAAACAGGGCUCAGAUCCCGCAUUGCUGUGGCUGUGGUGUAGGCCAGCAGCUGCAGCUCUGAUUGGACACCUAGCCUGGGAACUUCCAUAUGUCAUGCAUGUGGCCCUGAAAAGCGAAAGUAAAUAAAUAAAUAAAUAAAUGGGACUCA